CUGAGUAACAAUGACCUGAAGGAUUCAGGAGUGAAGCUGCUCUCUGCUGGACUGGGGAAUCCCCACUGUAAACUGGAGACUCUGAGGCUGUCAGGCUGUCAGGUCAAAGUGGAAGGAUGUGGUUCUCUGGGCUCAGCUCUGAGGUCAAACCCCUCACACCUGAGAGAGCUGGAUCUGAGUAACAAUGACCUGAAGGAUUCAGGAGUGAAGCUGCUCUCUGCUGGACUGGGGAAUCCCCACUGUAAACUGGAGACUCUGAGGCUGUCAGGCUGUCUAGUCACAGAGGAAGGCUGUGCUUUUCUGGUCUCAGCUCUGAGGUCAAACCCCUCACACCUGAGACAGCUGGAUCUGAG
Salmo salar (Atlantic salmon) is the source of this 353-nucleotide non-coding RNA. NCBI's taxonomy places the organism in Eukaryota, Metazoa, Chordata, Actinopteri, Salmoniformes, Salmonidae. The record is from RefSeq and is a predicted model, not a curated record.